Molecule: long non-coding RNA, 515 nt
Organism: Frieseomelitta varia
Lineage: Eukaryota; Metazoa; Arthropoda; Insecta; Hymenoptera; Apidae
Exons: 3
Source: RefSeq, a predicted model, not a curated record
AAAUCGUGGUGUUAAGAUAUAUUUCUUCGCGCGUGACAUUUAUUAACUGCAUAAUACUUUCAUCGCCAUUUUCUCACUUCUCAUAUCCACGCUAUUAAUUGUCGGUGAGUGCAAAGGAAGUAUUAAGGGGACACCAUGAAUUUCACAAGGACGCCAUGAAAUUCAAAAAGAAUAUUAUGGUAUUCUUUAAUCCUCACUUUUUUCAUGGUGUCCAACGUUGCUAUUUAAUGAUGGAUUUCACUUGGACCACGAUUACAUCAAUAAUGAUGGUCUUCACGUAAGUCAUAUGCAUUCUUGUUUUUCCGCUUAUUCAAUCAUGUCGUAGGAUGAAAGGUCCAAAUCGACAUAGAUGACUGUAUUAUGUAGAACUUUUGAUGAGUAUAACGACUGCGGAUAUUUACUAGUGAAUAGUAAUAUUUUAUUUAUUAAUUUAGGAUAGAAUCUUCUUGCAUAUCACGUUUUCUGAUGGUGAUAAUUAUACAUUAAUAAUUAAUAUGAGUGAUAUGAUAAAAUGA